CGUCUUCGGCGGCGGCGGCGGCGGGCUCGCGAGGGGCAAGAGCAGCGGCUUCGCGAGGGGGCGGCGAGCUCACGAGGGGCAAGAGCAGCGGCUUCGCGAGGGGCGGCGAGGUGGCGGCGUCGGCGGUACCCAUUCCACGUGCCUAGCGACCGCGCCCGGCCCUUCCACGCCCCCGUCUGCGGGUUCCACCGCUUCGUCCUGUUCUUCUUCGUCGGCGCGCCGGCGCGGGUGUUCGCGUAGGUCAUGUUGUCCGCGAAGCAGUGGCGGCAGCAGCCGAAGCCGUUCUUCGCGCCGGGGUUGAGGAGGCUCUUCAUCAUCUAGAACCACCAGAGCGCGGUCGGGAGGAAAAAAAAAACAAAAGCAAGGUCAUACGUACGAUUCUUCUGGAUUAGUUCAUAGACAUUAAAUGACACUACAACCAUUACCUUUAGAGUGACGUAACAGGUCAAUUAAAAAACGGUAUAAGGA
Molecule: ribosomal RNA, 468 nt
Filed under: Triticum aestivum (bread wheat)
Lineage: Eukaryota; Viridiplantae; Streptophyta; Magnoliopsida; Poales; Poaceae
Description: partial small subunit ribosomal RNA
Source: RNAcentral